This 72-nucleotide transfer RNA is filed under the name Camelus bactrianus (Bactrian camel). It matches the Rfam family "tRNA". From Rfam's summary of the family: Transfer RNA (tRNA) molecules are approximately 80 nucleotides in length. RNAcentral also lists the same sequence under 2 other names. The record is from Rfam by way of RNAcentral. Lineage: Eukaryota; Metazoa; Chordata; Mammalia; Artiodactyla; Camelidae.
GAGGGAAUAACUCAGUAUUAGAGUGCAUUCUUAGCAUGCAUGAGGUCCUGGGUUCAGUUCCCAGUACCUCCA